This 253-nucleotide ribosomal RNA is filed under the name uncultured bacterium. Its description in RNAcentral is "partial 16S ribosomal RNA". It matches the Rfam family "Bacterial small subunit ribosomal RNA", at positions 524 to 776 of the family's 1533-position model. The record is from RNAcentral.
UACGAAGGGGGCUAGCGUUGCUCGGAAUCACUGGGCGUAAAGGGUGCGUAGGCGGGUCUUUAAGUCCGGGGUGAAAUCCUGGAGCUCAACUCCAGAACUGCCUUUGAUACUGAGGAUCUUGAGUUCGGGAGAGGUGAGUGGAACUGCGAGUGUAGAGGUGAAAUUCGUAGAUAUUCGCAAGAACACCAGUGACGAAGGCGGCUCACUGGCCCGAUACUGACGCUGAGGCACGAAAGCGUGGGGAGCAAACAGG